CCUACGGGAGGCAGCAGUGAGGAAUAUUGGUCAAUGGGCGGAAGCCUGAACCAGCCAAGUCGCGUGAGGGAAUAAGGCCCUACGGGUCGUAAACCUCUUUUGCCGGGGAGCAAGGGCCGGUACGCGUCCCGGCCCGGAGAGUACCCGGAGAAAAAGCCUCGGCUAACUCCGUGCCAGCAGCCGCGGUAAUACGGAGGAUGCGAGCGUUAUCCGGUUUUAUUGGGUUUAAAGGGUGCGUAGGCGGGCUUUUAAGUCAGCGGUAAAAAUUCGGGGCUCAACCCCGUCCGGCCGUUGAAACUGGGGGCGUUGAGUGGGCGAGAAGAAGGAGGAAUGCGUGGUGUAGCGGUGAAAUGCAUAGAUAUCACGAAGAACCCCGAUUGCGAAGGCAGCCUGCCGCAGCGUUACUGACGCUGAAGCUCGAAAGCGCGGGUAUCGAACAGGAUUAGAUACCCUAGUAGUC
This 460-nucleotide ribosomal RNA is filed under the name uncultured bacterium. RNAcentral describes it as "partial 16S ribosomal RNA". It matches the Rfam family "Bacterial small subunit ribosomal RNA", at positions 338 to 795 of the family's 1533-position model. The record is from RNAcentral.